Oreochromis niloticus (Nile tilapia) is the source of this 340-nucleotide long non-coding RNA. RefSeq lists it as uncharacterized. The record is from RefSeq and is a predicted model, not a curated record. Lineage: Eukaryota; Metazoa; Chordata; Actinopteri; Cichliformes; Cichlidae. The transcript is spliced from 3 exons.
CUCCUCCUCCUCCUCCUCGGUGUGUGUGUGCUGCUGCCGUCUGCACCGACUGUUUCUGCAGUGUCUCUGUCUGUCAGUCCAAACCUUCAGCAGUUCUUCAGUGGAUCUUCUUCAGUGUAUCUGAGUUGUGUUGAUGAUGGACAGACAGCUGAUGGAUGGACAGUGAAGAGGACCAGAGGAGGACUCACUGAGGACUGUGGAGCAGCUCCAGGCUUUGGGAGGCUUCUUGGUUCCUACUGUGUUGUGGAUCUUUCUGCUCCCAGUGAAACCUUCUGGUGUGAGGACUCCUCUGGACAGCAGAGUGACAGAGUCUCCUUCAGUGUCCAAUCAGACACUACAG